Molecule: ribosomal RNA, 484 nt
Filed under: uncultured bacterium
Lineage: Bacteria
Description: partial 16S ribosomal RNA
Rfam family: Bacterial small subunit ribosomal RNA
Source: RNAcentral
AUUGAACGCUGGCGGCAGGCCUAACACAUGCCAGUCGAGCGGAUGAAGGGAGCUUGCUCCUGGAUUCAGCGGCGGACGGGUGAGUAAUGCCUAGGAAUCUGCCUGGUAGUGGGGGAUAACGUCCGGAAACGGGCGCUAAUACCGCAUACGCCCUGAGGGAGAAAGCGGGGGAUCUUCGGACCUCACGCUAUCAGAUGAGCCUAGGUCGGAUUAGCUAGUAGGUGGGGUAAAGGCCUACCAAGGCGACGAUCCGUAACUGGUCUGAGAGGAUGAUCAGUCACACUGGAACUGAGACACGGUCCAGACUCCUACGGGAGGCAGCAGUGGGGAAUAUUGGACAAUGGGCGCAAGCCUGAUCCAGCCAUGCCGCGUGUGUGAAGAAGGUCUUCGGAUUGUAAAGCACUUUAAGUUGGGAGGAAGGGCAGUAAGUUAAUACCUUGCUGUUUUGACGUUACCAACAGAAUAAGCACCGGCUAACUUCGUG